RNAcentral lists this ribosomal RNA (406 nucleotides) under Microbulbifer sp. RNAcentral describes it as "bacterial SSU rRNA". It matches the Rfam family "Bacterial small subunit ribosomal RNA", at positions 129 to 530 of the family's 1533-position model. The record is from RNAcentral. Lineage: Bacteria; Pseudomonadati; Pseudomonadota; Gammaproteobacteria; Cellvibrionales; Microbulbiferaceae.
CCCAGUAGUGGGGGACAACAUUCGGAAACGGAUGCUAAUACCGCAUACGCCCUACGGGGGAAAGCAGGGGAUCUUCGGACCUUGCGCUAUUGGAUAUGCCCGCGUCGGAUUAGCUAGUUGGUGAGGUAAUGGCUCACCAAGGCAACGAUCCGUAGCUGGUCUGAGAGGAUGAUCAGCCACACUGGGACUGAGACACGGCCCAGACUCCUACGGGAGGCAGCAGUGGGGAAUAUUGGACAAUGGGCGGAAGCCUGAUCCAGCCAUGCCGCGUGUGUGAAGAAGGCCCUAGGGUUGUAAAGCACUUUCAGUAGGGAGGAAGGCCUUAAAGUUAAUACCUUUGAGGAUUGACGUUACCUACUGAAGAAGCAGCGGCUAACUCCGUGCCAGCUCCCCCGGUUAUACUGAG